CCAUGGCUCAGGAUGAAUAGUCAACUGCUAUUCCAUAAAAGGCUGGGGCAAGUGUUGACUAAACGCUUUGGUAUAACAAAAGUAACUCUUAAAUUUUGUUAUUAUUUAAAGCUUGGAUUGCUCUGUGUGUAGCCUGAAGCUGGAAAAAAACCUCUCAGGUGGUUCCUGUAUGACAUGUAACCAACCCAGAUUCCAUUGGCAAUAACAGACCUGCAUGAGAGCUGUCUGAAGAGAUUGUCCAACAAAGUGAUGGGUCAUUGCCAUACUGGCAAAGAGAAUGACAUCAUCUGUUCUGUAGGGAGGUACAUGUUGAGAGGCCUUUGAAUGCAAUGAGAGACAGAAAAGAAACAGCUAAAAUGAUUUGUCACGAAGCCAUCCGAGACUCUUGGUCUCCAGAUGAGUCGUUCUGAUGCAGAGCACCAAAUCAAGCCUGCCUAUCAACCUUCCUCUCCCACUCAUUUACACAUGUCUCAAACCAGGUCACCCGGCCAAGAGGUUGAGCAUAGGUCCCUAGGUCCCAUGCAUGUCAGAGGGCCCUGGCUUAUCUUCCCAGGCUGAAGGGGAGAUACAACCCUUGCCCUCAAGAAGCCUGGUUCAGGAACUUCCAGCCCGAUAAAGAGACAGGCUUAGUAACAGAGAGGGUUGUAACUCAAUACCACUCCAAGGGAGUACUCUGGACCCUGCAUGGCUCUACAUGAA
Molecule: long non-coding RNA, 699 nt
Organism: Peromyscus eremicus (cactus mouse)
Lineage: Eukaryota; Metazoa; Chordata; Mammalia; Rodentia; Cricetidae
Exons: 4
Source: RefSeq, a predicted model, not a curated record